RNAcentral lists this transfer RNA (76 nucleotides) under Chelus fimbriata (Mata Mata). RNAcentral's name for it is "tRNA-Leu". It matches the Rfam family "tRNA". Rfam says of the family: Transfer RNA (tRNA) molecules are approximately 80 nucleotides in length. Their secondary structure includes four short double-helical elements and three loops (D, anti-codon, and T loops). Lineage: Eukaryota; Metazoa; Chordata; Testudines; Chelidae. The record is from RNAcentral.
AUUGUGGUAGCAAAGCAAGACGUUAAUGCAAAAGGCCUAAACCCUUUAACCAGGGGUUCAACCCCCCUCCACAAUA